This 513-nucleotide ribosomal RNA is filed under the name Alternaria tenuissima. Its description in RNAcentral is "eukaryotic LSU rRNA". The stretch from base 150 to 303 matches the Rfam family "5.8S ribosomal RNA". Lineage: Eukaryota; Fungi; Ascomycota; Dothideomycetes; Pleosporales; Pleosporaceae. The record is from RNAcentral.
GGGCUGGACCUCUCGGGGUUACAGCCUUGCUGAAUUAUUCACCCUUGUCUUUUGCGUACUUCUUGUUUCCUUGGUGGGUUCGCCCACCACUAGGACAAACAUAAACCUUUUGUAAUUGCAAUCAGCGUCAGUAACAAAUUAAUAAUUACAACUUUCAACAACGGAUCUCUUGGUUCUGGCAUCGAUGAAGAACGCAGCGAAAUGCGAUAAGUAGUGUGAAUUGCAGAAUUCAGUGAAUCAUCGAAUCUUUGAACGCACAUUGCGCCCUUUGGUAUUCCAAAGGGCAUGCCUGUUCGAGCGUCAUUUGUACCCUCAAGCUUUGCUUGGUGUUGGGCGUCUUGUCUCUAGCUUUGCUGGAGACUCGCCUUAAAGUAAUUGGCAGCCGGCCUACUGGUUUCGGAGCGCAGCACAAGUCGCACUCUCUAUCAGCAAAGGUCUAGCAUCCAUUAAGCCUUUUUUUCAACUUUUGACCUCGGAUCAGGUAGGGAUACCCGCUGAACUUAAGCAUAUCAU